ACUACGCCUACAUGAAGCUGGAGUUGCUAGUAAUCGCGAAUCAGCAUGUCGCGGUGAAUACGUUCCCGGGCCUUGUACACACCGCCCGUCACACCAUGAGAGUUGGCAAUACCCAACGUACGUGAUCUAACCCGCAAGGGAGGAAGCGUCCUAAGGUAGGGUCAGCGAUUGGGGUGAAGUCGUAACAAGGUAGC
RNAcentral lists this ribosomal RNA (194 nucleotides) under uncultured bacterium. RNAcentral describes it as "partial 16S ribosomal RNA". It matches the Rfam family "Bacterial small subunit ribosomal RNA", at positions 1309 to 1500 of the family's 1533-position model. The record is from RNAcentral.